This 345-nucleotide long non-coding RNA is filed under the name Medicago truncatula (barrel medic). RNAcentral describes it as "lncRNA gene46391". The record is from RNAcentral. Lineage: Eukaryota; Viridiplantae; Streptophyta; Magnoliopsida; Fabales; Fabaceae.
UUGGGUAGAAAUUAGCCACACUUUUUAGUAGUACUAGGCAAAUUUAUGAUUUUGUUGCAUUUUAUUUUCCUUUUUGUCAUUUGACAUAAAGAGACAAUUUUGAUAUCAGAUUUUGGAUUUUUAUUGUUAAGAAAUCCCUAAUUUGUUGCUAACAUAAAUUUUUAGUCUUCUGAUCAUAAUCGGAUGAAACAGAACGCGUUUGAGCUGCGUAUUACAUAUUCAAUUGUUUUUUUGUUAAAAAAUGAGUUGUCAAAUCUUUGAUUAAAUGACUUAUGAUACAUCAUUGGGUCAAACUUAGGAUUUCACCAUAUCUGUAUUUAAUUUUUUUAAGGGAAAACCUUUACC